UGACGGUACCACCAGAAAAAGCAACGGCUAACUACGUGCCAGCAGCCGCGGUAAUACGUAGGUUGCAAGCGUUGUCCGGAUUUACUGGGUGUAAAGGGCGUGUAGGCGGAGCUGCAAGUCAGAUGUGAAAUCCCGGGGCUCAACCCCGGAACUGCAUUUGAAACUGUAGCCCUUGAGUAUCGGAGAGGCAAGCGGAAUUCCUAGUGUAGCGGUGAAAUGCGUAGAUAUUAGGAGGAACACCAGUGGCGAAGGCGGCUUGCUGGACGACAACUGACGCUGAGGCGCGAAAGCGUGGGGAGCAAACAGGAUUAGAUACCCUG
Molecule: ribosomal RNA, 320 nt
Filed under: uncultured bacterium
Lineage: Bacteria
Description: bacterial SSU rRNA
Rfam family: Bacterial small subunit ribosomal RNA
Source: RNAcentral